This 271-nucleotide ribosomal RNA is filed under the name uncultured bacterium. Its description in RNAcentral is "partial 16S ribosomal RNA". It matches the Rfam family "Bacterial small subunit ribosomal RNA", at positions 524 to 794 of the family's 1533-position model. The record is from RNAcentral.
UACGUAGGGUGCAAGCGUUAAUCGGAAUUACUGGGCGUAAAGCGUGCGCAGGCGGUUUUGUAAGACAGGCGUGAAAUCCCCGGGCUCAACCGCAAAACAGCAGUCGAUACUGGCGAUCUUGAGUGUGGAAGAGAGUGGCGGAAUUCAUGGUGUAGCAGUGAAAUGCGUAGAUAUCAUGAAGAACACCAGAGGCGAAGGCGGCUACCUGGACAAUUGCUGACGCUCAGGCACGAAAGCGUGGGGAGCAAAAGGGAUUAGAUACCCCGGUAGU